UCCUUUCUCAGGAUGGAAAAGCAGAA
This 26-nucleotide non-coding RNA is filed under the name Rattus norvegicus (Norway rat). The record is from RNAcentral. Lineage: Eukaryota; Metazoa; Chordata; Mammalia; Rodentia; Muridae.